AAACUUUCAACAACGGAUCUCUUGGUUCUGGCAUCGAUGAAGAACGCAGCGAAAUGCGAUAAGUAAUGCUGAAUUGCAGAAUUCAGUGAAUCAUCGAAUCUUUGAACGCACAUUGCGCCCCCUGGUAUUCCGGGGGGCAUGCCUGUUCGAGCGUCAUU
RNAcentral lists this ribosomal RNA (158 nucleotides) under fungal endophyte sp. AP284. RNAcentral's name for it is "5.8S ribosomal RNA". It matches the Rfam family "5.8S ribosomal RNA". Rfam says of the family: 5.8S ribosomal RNA (5.8S rRNA) is a component of the large subunit of the eukaryotic ribosome. It is transcribed by RNA polymerase I as part of the 45S precursor that also contains 18S and 28S rRNA. The record is from RNAcentral. Lineage: Eukaryota; Fungi.